UACGUAGGGGGCAAGCGUUAUCCGGAUUUACUGGGUGUAAAGGGAGUGUAGGCGGCCUGGCAAGCCAGAUGUGAAAGCCCGCGGCUCAACUGCGGGACUGCAUUUGGAACUGUUAGGCUUGAGUGCAGGAGAGGAAAGUGGAAUUCCUAGUGUAGCGGUGAAAUGCUUAGAUAUUAGGAGGAACACCAGUGGCGAAGGCGGCUUUCUGGACUGUAACUGACGCUGAGGCUCGAAAGCGUGGGGAGCAAACAGG
This 253-nucleotide ribosomal RNA is filed under the name uncultured Eubacteriales bacterium. Its description in RNAcentral is "uncultured Clostridiales bacterium partial 16S ribosomal RNA". It matches the Rfam family "Bacterial small subunit ribosomal RNA", at positions 524 to 776 of the family's 1533-position model. The record is from RNAcentral. Lineage: Bacteria; Bacillati; Bacillota; Clostridia; Eubacteriales.